RNAcentral lists this ribosomal RNA (492 nucleotides) under uncultured bacterium. RNAcentral's name for it is "partial 16S ribosomal RNA". It matches the Rfam family "Bacterial small subunit ribosomal RNA", at positions 29 to 507 of the family's 1533-position model. The record is from RNAcentral.
AGUGAACGCUGGCGGUAGGCCUAACACAUGCAAGUCGAACGGCCGCACAGUAAGAGCUUGCUCUUACGGUUGGCGAGUGGCGGACGGGUGAGGAAUACAUCGGAAUCUACUUUUUCGUGGGGGAUAACGUAGGGAAACUUACGCUAAUACCGCAUACGACCUACGGGUGAAAGCAGGGGAUCUUCGGACCUUGCGCGAUUGAAUGAGCCGAUGUCGGAUUAGCUAGUUGGCGGGGUAAAGGCCCACCAAGGCGACGAUCCGUAGCUGGUCUGAGAGGAUGAUCAGCCACACUGGAACUGAGACACGGUCCAGACUCCUACGGGAGGCAGCAGUGGGGAAUAUUGGACAAUGGGCGCAAGCCUGAUCCAGCAAUGCCGCGUGGGUGAAGAAGGCCUUCGGGUUGUAAAGCCCUUUUGUUGGGAAAGAAAAGCAGCAGGUUAAUACCCCGCUGUUCUGACGGUACCCAAAGAAUAAGCACCGGCUAACUUCGUG